Molecule: ribosomal RNA, 466 nt
Filed under: Vreelandella stevensii
Lineage: Bacteria; Pseudomonadati; Pseudomonadota; Gammaproteobacteria; Oceanospirillales; Halomonadaceae
Description: partial 16S ribosomal RNA
Rfam family: Bacterial small subunit ribosomal RNA
Source: RNAcentral
CCUACGGGUGGCAGCAGUGGGGAAUAUUGGACAAUGGGGGCAACCCUGAUCCAGCCAUGCCGCGUGUGUGAAGAAGGCCCUCGGGUUGUAAAGCACUUUCAGUGAGGAAGAACGCCUGGUGGUUAAUACCCAUCAGGAAAGACAUCACUCACAGAAGAAGCACCGGCUAACUCCGUGCCAGCAGCCGCGGUAAUACGGAGGGUGCGAGCGUUAAUCGGAAUUACUGGGGCGUAAAGCGCGCGUAGGUGGCUUGAUAAGCCGGUUGUGAAAGCCCCGGGCUCAACCUGGGAACGGCAUCCGGAACUGUCAAGCUAGAGUGCAGGAGAGGAAGGUAGAAUUCCCGGUGUAGCGGUGAAAUGCGUAGAGAUCGGGAGGAAUACCAGUGGCGAAGGCGGCCUUCUGGACUGACACUGACACUGAGGUGCGAAAGCGUGGGUAGCAAACAGGAUUAGAUACCCUGGUAGUC